Molecule: non-coding RNA, 28 nt
Filed under: Cricetulus griseus (Chinese hamster)
Lineage: Eukaryota; Metazoa; Chordata; Mammalia; Rodentia; Cricetidae
Source: RNAcentral
GAGUAGCCAGUUGUGCCAAAGGACAAAG